This 253-nucleotide ribosomal RNA is filed under the name uncultured bacterium. RNAcentral's name for it is "partial 16S ribosomal RNA". It matches the Rfam family "Bacterial small subunit ribosomal RNA", at positions 524 to 776 of the family's 1533-position model. The record is from RNAcentral.
UACGUAGGGGGCAAGCGUUGUCCGGAUUUAUUGGGCGUAAAGAGCGUGUAGGCGGCUAGGUAGGUCCGUUGUGAAAACUCGAGGCUCAACCUCGAGACGUCGAUGGAAACCAUCUAGCUAGAGUCCGGAAGAGGAGAGUGGAAUUCCUGGUGUAGCGGUGAAAUGCGCAGAUAUCGUAAGGAAGACCAGUGGCGAAGGCGGUUCUCUGGGCCUUACCUGACGCUGAGGAGCGAAAGCGUGGGGAGCGAACAGG